Molecule: long non-coding RNA, 1128 nt
Filed under: Zonotrichia albicollis (white-throated sparrow)
Lineage: Eukaryota; Metazoa; Chordata; Aves; Passeriformes; Passerellidae
Description: lncRNA (ENSZALG00000007465.1)
Source: RNAcentral
UAGCCAAGGUCAACCCAACCCAACCCAACCCAAGGUCAACAAAACCCAACUCAACAUCAACCAAGGUCAACCCAACCCAACCCAAGGUCAACCAAGGUCAACCCAACCCAACCCAAGGUCAACCAAGGUCAACCCAACCAAACCCAACCCAAAGUCAACAAAACCCAACCCAAGGUCAACCCAACCCAAGUCAAGGUCAACCCAACCAAACCCAAGGUCAUCCAAGGUCAACCAAACCCAACCGAACCCAACCCAAGGUCAUCCAAGGUCAACAAAACCCAACUCAACAUCAACCAAACCCAACCCAAGGUCAACCAAGAUCAACCCAACUCAACCCAAAAUCAACCAAACCUAACCCAAUCCAAUCCAAGGUCAACAAAACCCAACUCAACGUCAACCAAGGUCAACCAAACCCAAGUCAAGAUCAACCAAGGUCAACCAAGGUCAACCCAACCCAAAAUCAACUCAAGGACAACCCAACCCUUGGUCAACCCAACCAAUGGUCAGCAAGGCCAAAGCAACCAUACGACCAACGCGAGUCAAGGCCGGACAAUCGAUGGUCAAUGUCAAGACCAACCCAACGGUCAGCUCAAGAUCAACCCAAUGGUCAGCUCAAGAUCAAGACCACCCCAGUGGUCAGCCCAAUUAACCGUUCACAAAAUCAAGACCAACCCAACGGUCAUCUCCAUCAAUGGUCAGCAGAACCAAGACCAACGGUCAGCCCAGGUCAAGGCAACGUCAAGUCAAGGUCAACCAACCAAUGGUCAAGAUCAAGCCAUGGGUGAGACCAAGCCAUGGUUGAGACCAAACUCAAGUCAAGACCAAGCCAUGGCCGAGACCAACCCAAAAACCAAGACAAACUCAAGACCAAUCCAAGGUCAAAACAAACCCAAAGUCAAGACCAACUCAUGGUCAAGAUCAACCAGCCCAAAGUCGAGACCAAGCCAUGGCCAAGACCAACCCAAAGUCAAGACCGACUCAAGGUCAAGACCAAUCCAUGGCCAAAACCAACCCAAAAACCAACUCAAACUCAAGACCAACCAAUGGCCAAAACCAACCCAUCGCGAAGACCAACCCAAAGUCAAGACCAACUCAUGGUCAAGACCAACCCAAAAACCAACCCAAAGU